AUCACCUGGUUGAUGUCAUGUUCCUGAACUUUUGUGAGUGCAAGAGAAGAGAAGAAUAGCAGUAUGAGGUGGGCCAUGGCCCAAGAGGUAUCCAGCAGGAAGUGGUGGCGGGGAAGAAAUUUGAAACGCCUCCCGUGCCUAGAGCCUCUGGUGGAUUCUGGGGAAGGAAGAGGACGGGGUGUGCCUCACGCAGAUCUCUGGAGAAACGUUGAGGAGCUGAACGUGGUGGCAGCCUGGUGUGGACUAAACAGAGUCGGUUAGAAAAGUGUUCUGAUGCAGUCACAGCUUUCAAGGCCUCAGCUUGCAUAAUUACAAGGGGCAGGAGCUGAAAUUUCAUCUGUGCGACAUCAGCUCAAAAGGAGCCGAGACUGGAAGAAACCGGGAGCUAUGAUUUGCACUUUGAUAACUUAAGUGAAAUAAAUCGAUGAUUCCAAAUGGAAAAA
Molecule: long non-coding RNA, 443 nt
Filed under: Homo sapiens (human)
Lineage: Eukaryota; Metazoa; Chordata; Mammalia; Primates; Hominidae
Description: long intergenic non-protein coding RNA 2337
Source: RNAcentral